RNAcentral lists this long non-coding RNA (1566 nucleotides) under Strigops habroptila (Kakapo). RNAcentral describes it as "lncRNA (ENSSHBG00005015486.1)". Lineage: Eukaryota; Metazoa; Chordata; Aves; Psittaciformes; Psittacidae. The record is from RNAcentral.
AAAGGGAUGUGAUGCAUUUCUUCAGGAAAGAGGCACUUUGUUUGGAAAAAUAAAUUAGAAGAAUACUUUUAUAAUUCCAAGUUAGUGCAUUUUAUUUGUAAUAACUGAACCAAAGAGGCUAGGAGAAAAUAAAACCUUCAAAGAUGGUAUUACUGAACCACGUCCUUGAUUCACAUGGUAACAGCAGCAGGCACAAGCACUUGUCAAUCUGAUUUCUCCCUUACACAUCAUAGCUCAGUAAUUCUCAUUCAUUGCUCCCGGUACUUCCUAUGUGCAAAUCUGCCCCAUCUACCACGCGCUUUUUGACAAGACCAUCAGAAUAGAGCACAUAAAAGAACAGAAAUUUCUUCAGAAGCAGGUUUUUCCUGAAUCUGCUGAACAUUUCAGAUGAUAAAGUGUCCCCUGAAAACUGGAAAAUUAACAUAAAACUCCUCCCUGAGGAGCAUUAUUAACUUUUGUGUCAUGUCACCCACGUCAUCCUCCACUUGCAGCAAGAACCCAGCGCUAGCGUUGAUGCUGCCCUCGGGGACGCAUAUAUACCAAUGGCUUCCUCUGGGCUAUUUAUUCCAUCAGAUGGAUAAAAUCCAUCUAAAAACUUGUGUAAACUAUGCACUGUUAACAAUUCUUUAUACCACCAACUGAAAACCUUGAAUAGAUCUAUAAGCUGUCAGUUCUGAUGUGGGUUUUAUUUCCUGGGCUUCCUCAAUUCACUGUCAUGGGUAACAUCCUGUAAUUUUUAACAUACCCAUUCUGAGGUAACACAAAAAAUAACCCCUCAUCUUCCACUGAAUGGGAAGUAGCAAUUGAUACAUGUAUGCGUGAAAGGUUUUGCUUUGAAUUAAAAAAUACCAACCUCCAGAUGGGCUUUGCAGCAGCAUGGGGCUUGUGGGAGGGGGCUGGAAUCAAAGCUGAUAGACCUGAUGGGUUGGUGGGAAGACAAGCAGAAAGGUCAAGCCUGAAGUUUGCUCUGAAGCUUGCAGGGAUGUCUAACAACAUCGUUUUCAUGAAAAAACAUGAAAGCAUUUCAACUAGAGAUUAAAAACUCCACUGAAGGCCUCAGUGAAAAAAAAUAGGAUCUUUUUUACCUAAUGUUUCCAGUCACAGAAUUCUGCUAACCCACAUAAUGGAUACAUUUCAUUUUUAAAUCAAAACCAGGUUAUUUCUCUGUAUAUUGCAAUACUCAAGCAGGAUUCUCUUCAUAACAGACAAUCUGAAUAUGUUUAACCUUCUAAAAAAAUGAUUUUCUGGGGCAAUGCAGCUGCCACCUCCCACAAUGAGAAAUGGUCCCACAGCACAGUUCAUGCCAUGCCAGAACAAGGCAUGGGGAGCAUCCAUGAAUUAUUCAUUAUGGCAACUGCACCCAGACCUCAGCAAACACCACGUCUACUGAUCUGUAAACUAAUGUCCAGGUCCUCCUAAAAGGGAGGUUCAGAGAACCAGCAAACAGAGAUGAAGACCCUACUUUGGGAGCCCAAACAAGACUCAGGCUCCCCCCAUUAACGGAAAGGGCCAAAGAUUAAAAAAAACAAAUUAAAAGGAGACACAGUAAUCUGCUUGGCAUUGGCC